Long non-coding RNA from Ceratina calcarata, 239 nucleotides. RefSeq lists it as uncharacterized. Lineage: Eukaryota; Metazoa; Arthropoda; Insecta; Hymenoptera; Apidae. The transcript has 3 exons. The record is from RefSeq and is a predicted model, not a curated record.
CACCAUGGGAUAGCAUGCCGGUAUCUCCUCGGUGCAUGCCGUGAACACUGGUGAACACUCUCAUCAACUCUCAUUUCCUCUUUAUUAUUAUAACCUUCAUUAACUUUGUUGUCUUCUGUCUGCAACAUAUCAUCAUAAAUUUGGUUGAAGUACAUGCUUGUCACGGAAUUAUACAUGGUAGAAAAGUGGGAAAGAAUCUUUAUUAAUAUAUUCCUAAUCACAUUAUUUUUAGGAUUCUU